This is a long non-coding RNA of Chinchilla lanigera (long-tailed chinchilla), 2440 nucleotides long. RefSeq lists it as uncharacterized. The transcript is spliced from 3 exons. NCBI's taxonomy places the organism in Eukaryota, Metazoa, Chordata, Mammalia, Rodentia, Chinchillidae. The record is from RefSeq and is a predicted model, not a curated record.
AGUCACUGAAACAGGCAGAUGGGAUUAUACCGCUUGACUUUGGAUACUCGGCGCUCACCAUCAGAACAGUGAUGAGGGCCCACCUGCCCCGUGCUAUGGCAGGGCUCCCGUAGGAGGGACUGGUAGGUUAGUGAGAACCUAAUCAUGUCCUCUACAAUAGUGUGUGGGUUAAUCACACCAACACUUACAAACUGAACUUUGCAGGGCAAGUUAGGGAACGCCAGGGCAGAGCUUAAUGAAAACAUCCCAUGUCAAACACGCCCAUAUUACGCAUGGAUUUGAGGUAUUUUCAUUCACAUGCUGAUGUGAAAGUCUUCCUUCUACUCUGAUUUAUAAACUGAAGGAUGAACCUGGGUUUAAAAGACCCAUACUGGGAUGGGGAUGGGGGUCUCCACCUCUCCUCAGAGGUGGAGGUCUUGCCUAGCAUGCACCAGGCCCUGGGUUUCAUCCUCAGCAUCCAAUACACACGUACAACAAACGACUCUAACCGAAGUUGGGGCUCUGGCUUCCCUUUCCUCGGAGCUGGGGAGGAAACCCAGGCCUUGUGCGUGUUAAGCGUGUGCUCUGCUGCUGGGCUCCUCACCCUCAGAGGGUGCCCCAUGCCAUCAGUGCGCGGACACUGAAAGCCACAGCACACGUGGGCCUCGCUUUUGCUCUAGGUAGGAGCAGGGCCUGGCCAUGGGGUCCCUGAUGCCCCCUCCCUGUCCUGUUAUGUAGAAACGGAGUGAUCACACUGCCUUGGACCCUUGUGAGCCAGGUACGUGCAGAUGCCCGGGCAGGACUGCAGCACCUGGGCCUUACCUCACAGUCUCUACUGGGCUUAGGUGGAGACCCGGGCUGGGUUGUCAGGGGUGAAAUCACCAUGCGAGGGGUGGAGGCUCAGCCUGUGCAACAGGUCGGAAGGAAAUGCGGGUUUGAGCAGGGCCGAUAAAAACGAAGAGGAGAAAAGGGAACUGGAAUAAGAGAGCAAGGCAUCAGGCGUGGGGGCCUCGCGCGUCACCGGCAUCGGAACAGAGAAGAGGGAGCUGGAUGACGAAACCAGCAGGCCCCGUGCAUGCCGGAGAAGGGCGAUUUCCUCAGGGGCCCUGCGCUGAGGAAGGACGUGCGAAGCAGGCCUGCGCCGCUCUGCAGCUGGCUCCCCGGGGGCGGCCUUUAAAGAAGGAAGUAAGAACUGCAGGGGUUAAAGAAUCAUUACUUGCCUUCAGUUGAGACAAUUAAGCCGGAAUGAACUGAACAGCACCGUUGAAAGCUUCACGUGGAACCUCCCGAACUCUUACUUGAAAUCCUGUGAGACAUUGAUCUUGGUGCUUACAGCUUUGUUUGGCACGGUCUCCUGGGAGCGAUAGCGGCUCGGGAAGAGAGAGUCGGGCAUCCGCGGCUGAUGCAAACUUGCUUCUCCCGGGAUCGCUGCCUCCUCUGCCUCCCUCAGCUCUGCCCCUGCCCGCCCUCACUGGCCUGCACCUCACCGCUCAGAGCUCCCCCUCGCCUCCCUGCUUCCGGUCUGGCCUGGCGGAGAGCCCUCCUCUGAAGAAGGGCUCCUCACCUAGAAUGCGCAGAUCUCUAAGAGGCUCAUGGAUAGAAUCCAGGCAGUCUGUGACUGUGGAUGGAAAACAUUUAACAAAAAGCAAGAUCCUUGGCCGGAAAUGUAGCUUCAUGGCAGAGCGCCUGCUUAGCAUGCGUGAGGCCCUGUGUUUGAACCUCAGCGCAGUAAAACAAAAAACAAGCCUCUACUAAAUAAUACUGGGGCUUUGCCACUGACAGUAAUUUAUUUUCAUUCGCUGUUCCAAUUUUCUUGAAAUACUGUUUACACGUAUCACUACUUUGAAAUUAGAGUAGUUACUGGACCCUCCAUUAAAAUUUUGUCAUUUAAUGUAGUAAUAAAAAAGCACGUUUAGCAUCCCACAGAUUUGACCUUGGUAUUUUAAUAACUGCUGUGAUAUAGUGGGGUUAUUUUGGAAUCCUAGGCUUUUGUUUUAUGCAUUUAAAAGCAUUUUUUUCCUGGCAAGGGACCCUUGGUCUUUACCAAGCUCCAAAGCCUAAACAACUCCCCACGCUGAGGAUGCAAGAUACUCUUCAGCUUGGCCAGGACCUGGCUUCCUCUCCAGCUAUCAUUGCAGCCAUUUCUCUGUGAGCUCAACAGUAACUGAGCUUAAAUAUCCAUGUGUUUCUUUUCCUGUGUCUUCUAAAUGCUUUCUCUGUCUUGGAACAUUUUGUCCCGACUUGUCAUUUGGGAAAACUCCUUCUCUGCCUAAGUGUCUCUGAUAAUUUCUCAGUGUUCAUACCAUGACUUACCACACUGUAUCACACUGACUAGCUCCUUAAGGGACAAUAGGGGUCUUUAUCAUCUCCCACCCACUCUGGUUAGCAAAUGAGGGAAAUCGCAUUUUUAAGGUAGUAAUUGGGUAUUUUUCAUAUUAAUAUACAAAUACUAAAGGGAUAG